GUGACAUCUCCUAUUAUUCCACCAGAGUGUAUUAUUGCUACUACUGUCCUCUCACUGUCUUCUCCACUGCUUGGCACCAUACUGGAGGCCUAGCCUCAGGUGCUCAGUGGCAAACCGUGUGAUAAACUGUUCGUUCCCCUAUGUGAAAGGGUUAAUAUCAUGAAAGUGUUCCAUGACAAUAUAACUGCUGGACACCUGGGCAGCAAUAAGUCCACUGCCGCGAUCACUAGAUCAUUUUGGUGGGAUUCACUCAGGAAAGAUGUAAAGGAGUAUGUGCAGGCAUGUUCUUUGUGUGCAGUUUCUAAGGUGACUCAUGCCACUUCCUUGUGGCCUGUUGCAGCCUCUUCCUGUUCCUGAGAUUCCAUGGUCCCACUUAUCCAUGGACUUUAUUGUUGAGCUUCCUAGCUCUGCUGGGUUCACU
This is a non-coding RNA of Pelobates cultripes (western spadefoot toad), 421 nucleotides long. The record is from the annotation of a GenBank genome assembly. Lineage: Eukaryota; Metazoa; Chordata; Amphibia; Anura; Pelobatidae.